AAAACUUCUCCCUUAAAUAGUAUUGUAAAAUACCAUAUGAGAAAAGAAAAGAAAGCAAUAAAAAGAAACCAAAUUGUAUUUUGACUGAAGCAAUUCCAACCACAUAUUUCACAAUCUUGUGUUAACUUCCCUGUCUGUGUUUCAUUUACUGCACUGACUUUGUCUCAAAAACAAUUGUCAUUACAGAAUUGGCAAGUGUUGAUUCUCUUCUGCAUCAUUUUAAAACAAGUUGUCAAGUGUCUAGCAAUAUAAGGCACAUGCUGCACUGCAGGGAUAUUGGAUUGGGACAUCAGAGUGUGGUGGGGACAGGAUGAGGCUGGGACAUCAAAGUGAUGGUGGGAGACAAGCUGAGACUGGGACAUUAGAGCGAUGGUGGGGACAGGCUGGGACAGCAGAGUGAUCGUGGGGACAGGCUGGGGCUGCGACAUCGGAGUAAUGCAAUUGACUCUAAUAACCCUGAUUCUUGUUGCAUUUUGGAUGAAGAGAAGGGCCUUGCUGAGGUCAUUGCAUUUGCUGUGGCCUCCACUCUUGCUCCUCCAGAUGACCUCCACAUUGCUGGCUUCUUCUUGGCUUCUCUUCCUAAAAAGCUUUGGUGGAGAGAUGAAUGUGGAUCUUGUUUACUUUGUUAACUGCUAUAUUCCUGGUUGUCAGAAUGGUGCACGUGAUAAGGCCUUAAUAAAUAUUUGUUGA
This 690-nucleotide long non-coding RNA is filed under the name Papio anubis (olive baboon). RNAcentral's name for it is "lncRNA (ENSPANG00000037119.1)". Lineage: Eukaryota; Metazoa; Chordata; Mammalia; Primates; Cercopithecidae. The record is from RNAcentral.